RNAcentral lists this ribosomal RNA (433 nucleotides) under uncultured bacterium. RNAcentral describes it as "partial 16S ribosomal RNA". It matches the Rfam family "Bacterial small subunit ribosomal RNA", at positions 29 to 507 of the family's 1533-position model. The record is from RNAcentral.
AACGAACGCUGGCGGCAGGCCUAACACAUGCAAGUCGAGCGAGGACUUCGGUUCUAGCGGCGGACGGGUGAGUAACGCGUGGGAAUGUGCCCUUCUCUACGGAAUAGCCCUGGGAAACUGGGAGUAAUACCGUAUACGCCCUUUUGGGGAAAGAUUUAUCGGAGAAGGAUCAGCCCGCGUUGGAUUAGGUAGUUGGUGGGGUAAUGGCCUACCAAGCCGACGAUCCAUAGCUGGUUUGAGAGGAUGAUCAGCCACACUGGGACUGAGACACGGCCCAGACUCCUACGGGAGGCAGAAGUGGGGAAUCUUAGACAAUGGGGGCAACACUGAUCUAGCCAUGCCGCGUGAGUGAUGAAGGCCUUAGGGUUGUAAAGCUCUUUCAGCUGGGAAGAUAAUGACGGUACCAGCAGAAGAAGCCCCGGCUAACUCCGUG